RNAcentral lists this ribosomal RNA (429 nucleotides) under Gemmatimonadota bacterium. RNAcentral's name for it is "Gemmatimonadetes bacterium partial 16S ribosomal RNA". It matches the Rfam family "Bacterial small subunit ribosomal RNA", at positions 355 to 776 of the family's 1533-position model. The record is from RNAcentral. Lineage: Bacteria; Pseudomonadati; Gemmatimonadota.
UAGGGAAUCUUCGGCAAUGGACGAAAGUCUGACCGAGCAACGCCGCGUGAGUGAAGAAGGUUUUCGGAUCGUAAAACUCUGUUGUUAGAGAAGAACAAGGACGUUAGUAACUGAACGUCCCCUGACGGUAUCUAACCAGAAAGCCACGGCUAACUACGUGCCAGCAGCCGCGGUAAUACGUAGGUGGCAAGCGUUGUCCGGAUUUAUUGGACGUAAAGCGAGCGCAGGCGGUUUCUUAAGUCUGAUGUGAAAGCCCCCGGCUCAACCGGGGAGGGUUAUUGGAAACUGGGAGACUUGAGUGCAGAAGAGGAGAGUGGAAUUCCAUGUGUAGCGGUGAAGUGCGUAGAUAUAUGGAGGAACACCAGUGGCGAAGGCGGCUCUCUGGUCUGUAACUGACGCUGAGGCUCGAAAGCGUGGGGAGCAAACAGG